RNAcentral lists this ribosomal RNA (518 nucleotides) under uncultured bacterium. Its description in RNAcentral is "bacterial SSU rRNA". It matches the Rfam family "Bacterial small subunit ribosomal RNA", at positions 8 to 518 of the family's 1533-position model. The record is from RNAcentral.
AGAGUUUGAUUAUGGCUCAGGAUGAACGCUGGCGGCGUGCCUAAUACAUGCAAGUCGAACGAGAGUAGCAAUACUCGAGUGGCGAACGGGUGAGUAACACGUAGGUAACCUGCCUUACAGUUUGGGAUACCCGAGGGAAACCUUGGCUAAUACCGAAUAAUUCUUUUUGGAGGCAUCUCCGAAAGCUAAAAGGGGCCCUUAAAGCCUCGCUGAAUGAUGGACCUGCGGCGCAUUAGCUAGUUGGUGAGAUAAUAGCCCACCAAGGCGAGGAUGCGUAGCCGACCUAAGAGGGUGAACGGCCACACUGGAACUGAGACACGGUCCAGACUCCUACGGGAGGCAGCAGUAGGGAGUUUUCGGCAAUGGGGGAAACCCUGACCGAGCAACGCCGCGUGAACGAUGAAGGUCCUUCGGAUUGUAAAGUUCUGUUAUAAGGGAAGAAUGAUAGCCUGAGGAAAUGCUGGCUAUUUGACGGUACCUUAUUAGAAAGCCACGGCUAACUACGUGCCAGCAGCAGC